GAUGAACGCUGGCGGCGUGCCUAAUACAUGCAAGUCGAGCGAACGGACGAGAAGCUUGCUUCUCUGAUGUUAGCGGCGGACGGGUGAGUAACACGUGGAUAACCUACCUAUAAGACUGGGAUAACUUCGGGAAACCGGAGCUAAUACCGGAUAAUAUUUUGAACCGCAUGGUUCAAAAGUGAAAGACGGUCUUGCUGUCACUUAUAGAUGGAUCCGCGCUGCAUUAGCUAGUUGGUAAGGUAACGGCUUACCAAGGCAACGAUGCAUAGCCGACCUGAGCGGGUGAUCGGCCACACUGGAACUGGGACACGGUCCAGACGCCUACGGGAGGCAGCAGUAGGGAAUCUUCCGCAAUGGGCGAAAGCCUUACGGAGCAACGCCGCGUGAGUGAUGAAGGUCUUCGGAUCGUAAAACUCUGUUAUUAGGGAAGAACAUAUGUGUAAGUAACUGUGCACAUCUUGACGGUACCUAAUCAGAAAGUCACGGCUAACUACGUG
This 497-nucleotide ribosomal RNA is filed under the name uncultured bacterium. RNAcentral's name for it is "partial 16S ribosomal RNA". It matches the Rfam family "Bacterial small subunit ribosomal RNA", at positions 28 to 507 of the family's 1533-position model. The record is from RNAcentral.